RNAcentral lists this small RNA (420 nucleotides) under Pongo abelii (Sumatran orangutan). RNAcentral's name for it is "retained intron". The record is from RNAcentral. Lineage: Eukaryota; Metazoa; Chordata; Mammalia; Primates; Hominidae.
AUAGAAUAUCCCUUCUGCUCUGGUAGAGGAAAGCUGAGUGUAGGGCUGAUGUUACAGAGGAUGUAGUCCUCCUAUGUCUUCCUGGAUUUUUCUCCCUGGAUCCCAGAGAAAUAGCAUUCAAGCCCAGCUUGCUCACUCCCAUUUGCAUCUGGAUCCCAGAGAAGUAGCAUUCAAACCCAGCUUGUUCACUCCCAUUUGCAACUCUUCUCUGCUGCAGGCAGUUGGCUGGGAUAACAUGGCAUUCAUCUUCCUCAAUCGCUUUUUGGAUCUGACCGAUGAGGCUGAGAGAGAAGAGGUUCGAGACUGGGUGCUUACAGUCUCCAUGGACCAGCGGCUGGAGCAGGUUCUGCCUCGGGAUGAGCGUGGCGCCUAUGAGGCCUCCCUAGUGGCAGCGAGCACUGGGGUUCGAGCCCUGCCCUG